This 497-nucleotide ribosomal RNA is filed under the name uncultured bacterium. RNAcentral describes it as "partial 16S ribosomal RNA". It matches the Rfam family "Bacterial small subunit ribosomal RNA", at positions 28 to 507 of the family's 1533-position model. The record is from RNAcentral.
GACGAACGCUGGCGGCGUGCCUAAUACAUGCAAGUUGAGCGCUGAAGGUUGGUACUUGUACCAACUGGAUGAGCAGCGAACGGGUGAGUAACGCGUGGGGAAUCUGCCUUUGAGCGGGGGACAACAUUUGGAAACGAAUGCUAAUACCGCAUAAAAACUUUAAACACAAGUUUUAAGUUUGAAAGAUGCAAUUGCAUCACUCAAAGAUGAUCCCGCGUUGUAUUAGCUAGUUGGUGAGGUAAAGGCUCACCAAGGCGAUGAUACAUAGCCGACCUGAGAGGGUGAGCGGGCGAAUUGGGACUGAAACACGGCCCAAACUCCUACGGGAGGCAGCAGUAGGGGAUCUUCGGCGAUGGACGAAAGUCUGACCGAGCAACGGCGCGUGAGUGAAGAAGGUUGUCGGGUCGUAAAACUCUGUUGGUAGAGAAGAACGUUGGUGAGAGUGGAAAGCUCAUCAAGUGACGGUAACUACACAGAAAGGGACGGCUAACUACGUG